CCUACGGGUGGCAGCAGUGAGGAAUAUUGGUCAAUGGCCGAGAGGCUGAACCAGCCAAGUCGCGUGAGGGAAGACGGCCCUACGGGUUGUAAACCUCUUUUGUCGGGGAGCAAAGCGAGUCACGUGUGACUCAUUGAGAGUACCCGAAGAAAAAGCAUCGGCUAACUCCGUGCCAGCAGCCGCGGUAAUACGGAGGAUGCGAGCGUUAUCCGGAUUUAUUGGGUUUAAAGGGUGCGCAGGCGGAGGUGCAAGUCAGCGGUCAAAUUGCGGGGCUCAACCCCGUACUGCCGUUGAAACUGCAUCCCUUGAGUGCGCGAGAAGUAUGCGGAAUGCGUGGUGUAGCGGUGAAAUGCUUAGAUAUGACGAAGAACCCCGAUUGCGAAGGCAGCUUGCUGCAGCGGAACUGACGCUGAUGCUCGAAAGCGCGGGUAUCGAACAGGAUUAGAUACCCUAGUAGUC
RNAcentral lists this ribosomal RNA (459 nucleotides) under uncultured bacterium. Its description in RNAcentral is "partial 16S ribosomal RNA". It matches the Rfam family "Bacterial small subunit ribosomal RNA", at positions 338 to 795 of the family's 1533-position model. The record is from RNAcentral.